RNAcentral lists this ribosomal RNA (253 nucleotides) under uncultured bacterium. RNAcentral describes it as "partial 16S ribosomal RNA". It matches the Rfam family "Bacterial small subunit ribosomal RNA", at positions 524 to 776 of the family's 1533-position model. The record is from RNAcentral.
UACAGAGGGGGCAAGCGUUAUUCGGAAUUAUUGGGCGUAAAGGGCGCGUAGGCGGCUUUGCAAGUGACGGGUGAAAUCCCUCGGCUUAACCGAGGAACUGCCUGUCAAACUGCAUGGCUUGAGACCAGGAGAGGUGAGUGGAAUUCCCAGUGUAGCGGUGAAAUGCGUAGAUAUUGGGAGGAACACCAGUGGCGAAGGCGGCUUUCUGGUCUGUUCUUGACGCUGAGGCGCGAAAGCUAGGGUAGCAAACGGG